Molecule: ribosomal RNA, 253 nt
Filed under: uncultured bacterium
Lineage: Bacteria
Description: partial 16S ribosomal RNA
Rfam family: Bacterial small subunit ribosomal RNA
Source: RNAcentral
UACAGAGGUCCCGAGCGUUGUUCGGAUUCACUGGGCGUAAAGGGUGCGUAGGUGGUAGGGUAAGUCGGAUGUGAAAGCUCGGAGCUCAACUCCGAAAAGGCAUUGGAAACUGCCCUGCUAGAGGGUCGGAGGGGGGACUGGAAUUCUCGGUGUAGCAGUGAAAUGCGUAGAUAUCGGGAGGAACACCAGAGGCGAAGGCGGCCACCUGGACAGACACUGACGCUGAGACGCGAAAGCGUGGGGAGCAAACAGG